Equus caballus (horse) is the source of this 3808-nucleotide long non-coding RNA. Lineage: Eukaryota; Metazoa; Chordata; Mammalia; Perissodactyla; Equidae. The record is from Ensembl.
CUGUCGGGCUGCUUGGGGACGGCUCCGCCUCGUAAAGCAGUUUUUUCUCUGCCCAUUUGCUCCCUCUCCUUUGUCUCUGGGGUUCCACGUGCGACAAUCAGUUGACAUGUCCGCCCAGGUAGCCCUGAGGCUCUGCUCCUCUUUCGUUUUGUCUUCCUCUUCUCUGGGCUGGAUAGUUCCUAUUCAUCUCCUUGCUCACGAGACCUUUUUCUGCUCUUGAGACCCUCCAGUGAAUCGCUCCUUUCAGACACUGUGUUCUCUCGUUCUGGACUUUCUAUCAGGUUGUUUGAUAGAGUUUCUGUCCCUACUGAGAUUCCCCACGACAUCCUCGGGGCCCUGGCACUGUUGACAGUGGCUGCGUUGACGUGUUCGUCUGGAGCCCACGAGGCAUCUCUGGGUCUGCUUCUCCUGAUCUGUCUUUCUUGUCUUGAGUAUGGCCACUUCUUCUGCUUCCUUCCUUCUUCCCACGUCUGCUCUUUUGCUCUAAGAUUUGUGUGAGAAGUGUACCUAGAGGGCCCGGCAGAGUGCCCUGGUGUAUGCCUCAUUGGUGCUGCCCUGGCGGCAGCCGGGAUUGAGGACUGAGGAGCAACUUCUGUCAGGCCCUUGAGUUUGCCUGUGGCAGGCAGGUAUGGAGGCCUGGUCUGUUGCUUUGGGUCCGUUUUUGUUCCAUUUGGUCCCGUUGUGGCCUUUCCUCUCAUUCCUAAGGCCUGGCCUUCUGGGGUCUCAGCUUGUGCUUGUGAUGCCCUGGAGGACCCCACUUGGAUCAGGGUGGAGGGGGGGGCGGAACGCAGCAUCUCCCUUCUCUGCUCUUCGCUGGGCCUCAGGCCUCUUGCUCUGCCUCUGUGGAAGGCAGCCUCAGACAAGGAUGCUCAGUGGCCCCUCAGAUUCUGGGAGCAACUGCAACCCUGGACGCUGGUCUGUGUCCUCGUCUCAGAGAGAUCAGGAUUCACCUUGGGCCCCACCUCCAGGGUCGGGGAAACGUCCCCAGGUAGAAAGCCAGCUGACAUGGCCUGUGGCUCACAGUAGCUCUGCCUGCCAUGCAACGCCUGAAAACAGUUGUCCCUGUAUCUGUCCAAUUUUAUAGCUGUUUGUGGCAGGAGGGCACGUCUAGUACCGGUCACUCUGCCAUGGCCAGAAGUGGAAGUGUCCUACCUGGUAACCAAGGGCCUGCAGGUGGGGACAGGGCAGAGAGGACACGCUUGCUCCGAGCGUUGGACAGUAAACACUACCACUUGCUGGGGCACCGACAGCAGAAUUCAAACCUGGAAUUGCUGUAAACCAGGGAACAGGCAGUGCAUGUUGCAGGACACGCAGACCAACCAGCCCCUCCCUGAGUGCAAGGUGUUGUGGCCAGCGUACCCCGCCAGAUGCCGCUGAUUAAAGAGCUCAGGAGAGGAAGGCAGACGACGCCUCCGUGCGCUCCCUCCUGCAGCCCCCUCGGCUUUGGGAGGAACUGGAUCACGGAGCGUGUUUCACGGAGGCCUCUCCAGCUUUGAAAGCUGUGCUGUGAGCAGCACAGCCUGGGUGUGGAGCAGGCAAUCAUGCACCUGGAGUUCGAGGAUUUGACCUGCUCACAGCUGCAGGUGGAGCUUGUCCGGGACAGGCGUCCUGGGGCAGAAGGGGCUGCAGGCCAUGGAGGAGCUGUGCUGGUGGCUUCCCGCAGGCUGAUCUUAAUGAAGAGACCUCAGAGAGAUGAGAUAAACCUGUACCCGGGGCAGCAUCUUGUCCUGAUGUCUCAUCGUGAAUAAGUCUAUCAGAUCUCCUCUUGGGGGUGAGGCUGGGUGGAGACGGCAGAUCUGCACGGUGGAGAAAAGAGAAGAAGGCCAGCACAGUGGCAUUGAGGAAUCCAGGGAGCUCCUGGCCAACUUGGCCUGAGUCUUGCAUUUCAGAUGAAAAAAGGAAAACUGUGCUUCUGAGCCCACUCGCUGCGGAGCCUGCCAUCGGCGAUAAUUUCAGCACAGUGAGUCAACCUCCAGGGACCGUGCCGGCCAGGUCCCCCUCUGUCGGCACCUGGGCACGUGUGCGAGCUCAGCCGCCCCUCCCUGGGCUGCCUGCCUGGGAACAGCUGCUGUGUCCUGACCCAGCCGGCAGCUGUGACCUUGUGGGUCCCAGAGAGCCCUGCGAUCUCAGUGGCCUGGCCACUCAGGCUUAGGGCCACUGUCAGUCAUGGAGGGUCUCACCCAGGACCCUCACCCGGAGAGGGAAAUCUCUUUGUCCAGGAAGCAGCUGCUGGAAACGUCUGAGCCCCAGAGAGACUGAGCUGUGACCUGGACCCCUACUUUGUGAGGGCACCUAGUUUGUUUCAUAGGAGUGUGUGCUCCUGGGGGCUGAACACGGAGCCCCCGGGGUGGCCUGGGGCCCUCACUGAGCAUCCUCAUACUGGGCCUCGUCGGGGGCUCACUUCCUCCCUUGUGCCCACCUGCCUGACCCGACCACACUGAAAGGCGGUCUGCUGCUGUGACCACAGGGGUGACCAGGGGUGGAAUGGCUGGGCCAAGGGCGGCCAGGCUGCCCCAAACCUGGACAUCCGCCUGCCAGGCAAUGGUUGCCUGAUAUCUUCAGAUGCGAAUGUGUGGUUUGGCUCCGGAGGCUGGAGAGUGGGGUGGGCGCCUGGCUCCUGCUGACCUCUGGGGUUGGUGGGCAAAUUAGUAAGAGGAUUCACACAGACAGCUGUCCCAGGACCCAGGGACCUGGAGGAAGAAGGCGCCUCUGAGCAGCAGGUGAGGAUGGCCGGGGCCCUGUGUGUGGCAGUGCCACACGUGUCGGCCACGUUCCUGCCUCUUCACCUGGCUGUGGCUACUGACUGGCUGCCCCAGGGCCAGAGGCUUAAAAGCAGACGACUCCUGGGCACCACAGGAUGGCUGUGGGGCCGUUUCCAGGAGCUGUGGCUGUCCAGUGGACAGGUCAUAUUCUGGCCGGGGUCCAUAGCCCAGAUAACCAGCCACGUCUCCCCAGAGGUGCAGAAUGUCCCGCCCUACAGUCCAUCCCGCAACAGCCUGGGACCUCAGUGACUGAGCCAGCCCCUGCUGAUACACCCUCACCGUCUGACCCGGCCUCUCCUCGGCCCUGCACCUGUGUGCAGAAGACCCAGAAGAUUCCGGGGCCCCAUGGCACACGCAGGCUGGGGAUGAGGCCACAGAGACCCCAGGAGGGAGUUGAGGGCUGGGAGGAGGCCUUACUCUGAGGUCCCUGCCUCCCACAGCUGGGUUCUGUGCUGAGGUCCCGGCCCUGAGAGGCGAGGCGGGUGCAGCGCCCGGCUCUGUGAGGAGGAGGGCACCAGGACCCCAUACCUGUGCCAACAGGGGCAGGUGUCCUGGAUUAUGGGGGAGAGGGGGCUGGCCAGCACAGCAACCAGACCUCUGGCACUGGCAAGGUCAGCACCAAGCCCGGCCCGCCGCGGCCGCCAGAAAUCCUCCUUUCCAACUCCGCUCGCGGGGUGGCAGCUGCCAGUGCUAUUUGGGGACUAAGCUGUGCCCACUUUCUGGCCCUUUGAGUCCUUGUCUGGUGCGAAUUACGCGCUAAUCUGCAUGCUUAGCUGUCCCUGAGAGCUCUACUCCUGGGCCCGCUCGGUCGCCCAGGAGACCCCUCACACCCACAAGGCCUGGCCCCCCCCCCCCCCCCCGCCAGGGAAGAAAGGGUGUUGGCUCUGGAUCCACAGGUCAUGCACAUGUGGGGGAAAGAGUGUGACGAGCACACAGCUUUACCCCAACUGAGUGGGGGCGGCUGUCAGAAAAUCACACUAAGCGGGACAUGCCCUCUGUGACAGCUUCCCUCAGUCCCCUCAGGAGUGUGGGAUGGAGAGAUGGAG